This 402-nucleotide long non-coding RNA is filed under the name Phoenix dactylifera (date palm). RNAcentral's name for it is "long non-coding RNA (PDAC_LNC004878)". Lineage: Eukaryota; Viridiplantae; Streptophyta; Magnoliopsida; Arecales; Arecaceae. The record is from RNAcentral.
UGAAUAUGGUAAUCUUUUUGUAUUUCUUGUUUACGUGACUUCUUACUUGGAUCUGGUUUUCUUGGACGCUUUGAUCCUAGAAGGUGACAAGGUAAUCCCAUGGUUUGUAUUUUUCCUCUUUUUCCUCCUAUAUGGUUGUCUUUUUAUGUUCUUUAAUUGGAUUAGCUUUGGUUGGCUCGUGUGAUAUGUUUCGAACUGCUCUGCGGUGGUUUUUGAUCUUGGUAGAUGGGUUUGAGAUUGUUGAUUAGCGAUAGAAACAUCCGUGUUCUUGAUUUUUUUUUUGUGCAGACUUCAUGGAUUUCUGGAUCUUAGAUUGGAGCGAUACGAUGUAGAUACAUAGAUAGAUUACUUGUUUCGAUAUUCAUAAGCCAUGCAGUUCCGGCACUCACGAAUCCACUAUUC